GAUGAACGCUGGCGGCGUGCCUAAUACAUGCAAGUCGAGCGAACAGAUGAGGAGCUUGCUCCUCUGACGUUAGCGGCGGACGGGAGAGUAACACGUGGAUAACCUACCUAUAAGACUGGGAUAACUUCGGGAAACCGGAGCUAAUACCGGAUAAUAUAUUGAACCGCAUGGUUCAAUAGUGAAAGACGGUUUUGCUGUCACUUAUAGAUGGAUCCGCGCCGCAUUAGCUAGUUGGUAAGGUAACGGCUUACCAAGGCAACGAUGCGUAGCCGACCUGAGAGGGUGAUCCGCCACCCUGGAACUGAGACACGGUCCCGACUCCUACGGGAGGCCGCAGUAGGGAAUCUUCCGCAAUGGGCGAAAGCCUGACGGAGCACCGCCGCGUGAGUGCUGAAGGUCUUCGGAUCGUAGAACUCUGUUAUUCGGGAAGAACAAAUGUGUAAGUACCUAUGCACAUCUUGACGGUACCUAAUCAGAAAGCCCCGGCUAACUACGUG
Molecule: ribosomal RNA, 497 nt
Filed under: uncultured bacterium
Lineage: Bacteria
Description: partial 16S ribosomal RNA
Rfam family: Bacterial small subunit ribosomal RNA
Source: RNAcentral